Molecule: ribosomal RNA, 253 nt
Filed under: uncultured bacterium
Lineage: Bacteria
Description: partial 16S ribosomal RNA
Rfam family: Bacterial small subunit ribosomal RNA
Source: RNAcentral
UACGGGGGGGGCGAGCGUUGUUCGGAAUUACUGGGCGUAAAGGGUUUGUAGGUGGUCUGCUAAGUCAGACGUGAAAUCCCUCAGCUUAACUGGGGAACUGCGUCUGAUACUGGCGGACUUGAGGACAGGAGAGGAACGCGGAAUUCCCGGUGUAGUGGUGAAAUGCGUAGAUAUCGGGAGGAACACCAGUGGCGAAGGCGACUUCCUGGCCUGUUCUUGACGCUGAGGCGCGAAAGCUAGGGGAGCAAACGGG